GGGCGGGGCGAAGGCUGAGGGCCGGGGCUCGCGGGACGAAUGCGCGUGCGCUUGGGUGUGCGCGGCGGCGGGACAUUGGGAGGGGAAUUGCAGGGCACAGAAAAAGAAACUCUCUAAAUCAUUUCAUGAAGCCAGCUUUACUGUAACCUGAUAAAGACUGGAGAACUUCAAAGCAAGAGCUAUCCUGCUGUCCUCAAAGAAGCAAACUGUCACGGUGUGGAGAACGCUAUGUGGCAGGGUCCAGUAGGCGGCCUCUAGGAGCUGACAGUCAGCGUGAAAGUAACAUCAGUCCUAUAGUUGUGAGGAACUGAGUUUUUCUAACUAGUGACCUUGGAAGAGGACUCCAAGCUUCAGGAGGGGACGUGAUGCUCUUGGGACGUGUUUCAAACUCCCAGACAAGAUUUUGCAAGUGGGCAUGAUUGAUUUCUCUGUAAAUGAUGUAGAUUUGGGUUCACUGCUGCAGCUCCAGCUCCUCGAAUAGCACCAGGCACCCAGUAAGUCCUCUGUUAACGCUGAUGGAAUGAACAUAUGAAGGAGUGGGUUGAAGAUAUCAAGGCCUGACUGGGAACUUGGUGGGAGAUUGACCUUUCAGUUUACAGAAAAGAGUAAAAAUUUUGGAGGCAACUUCGUCUAAACUCAUCUCUUUAAAAGCAUGGCAUUUUAUAUUCUCUCACAGCACGUUGGACUGACUGGCCAGAGCCUUGAACAUGGGUGAGCUGAUCCCAAGGGUUUGUGAAUGAUCCCUGGUGUGUCCAUCCCUCGUGGGAGUUAGCACCAGCUCUUGGAGCCUUCCUCUCAGCCUCCCAGGGAGACCCCCGAAAGGAAUCCUGGGAAUAUCCCAGGAUGUGAAACUCAGUGAUGGCAGCAUCUAAGGAUAAAGGCCCAGCUCUUCCCUGAACAUCUGGACCAAAAGCAUCCCUGGAAAUCGCAUGCCUGGAACCGAGUGGGGACAGGGCUGGAGGGAGGGCUGAAGCUCUAGGUUUUAUUUUUUGGGAGCUGAAGGAUCAGGUGGUAGUGGGUGAGGUAUUUACUUUUCACCCUCGGGCUGUGGUGGAGGAGAUGGAGUUGGGUUAUGGAGUCUACGUAUCCAGCCCAGCCUUGUGGACUAGAGCAAAGCCCCUACGAGCAGCGGCAUGGGUGGGAGCAGAAGGGGCUGCUUUCCCCAGAUAAGGUUGGAUCUGUGUGCCCCUUGGAGGCCAGGUGACAGAGUGUGACAUCGGUGAAGGAGGGGGCAUGCUCUCCCUGCGUGCAGCCUCACUGUGGUGGUGGGACUUCAGGAGGUGUUGGCCAUUUGGGCGUUUAGAUGGUUUGUGGCUCCUGUGGAUGCAGAGUCAAAGUGAGGGUACAGUGGGGAGGGUAUAGCUCAAGUGGUAGAGCACAUGGUUAGCAUGCAUGAGGUCCUGGGUUCAAUCCCCAGCACCUCCUCCAAGAAUGAAUAAAUAAAUAAACCUAAUUACCUCCCCCCAACACAAAAACAAAAAUGAAAAACAAAAUAAAUGAGGUUGUACUCAGAUGGCUUAAGAAGCCCCGCACGUCAUUGCAGGUGGACAGAGGGGACUCCAUGAGCACAUGUGGAUGUCCUGGAGAGGGUUCUAGAAGAGCAGUGGAGAGAGGUGGAUCCUGCGGGACUCUUGAUGAGAUGUGCACCGAGGACACAGGGACCCCUCGAGGGAGGGGAAGGAGAUACACGAGCCUGACUAGCACACUGGGAUUGGGUGGCACGCUAUUAGGUGGCCUUCCAAAGGAUGCAUUUCUUUUUUAUUUUUAAAUGUACUGAUAAAAUUGUCAAGCCCAGAGUUGAAGGGGAAAACCAGCUUUUAACUUAGCCCAAUACAUCUGAUUUUGAGGUAGAGAUUUUGAGGUCAGCAUUAUGGAAACCCACCAACCCUCAAUCAGAUUUUACACAAGUUAUAUGGAGACUGUCACUGUAUUACCACAAGCUUACACAUCUCAUUUCCUUUUCUGUCUAGUCCUCCAUUUAAUAACCUGAAAAUCUAUCUUUUUAUUGAGUUUCAUGCUAUUUUCUUACUUACAUACAAUCGCGUUCCUCUUACCAAUUGCCUAGUGUCAUGGCACAUUAGUUAGGUGAAUUUGUUGAUAUUUCAAAAUUACUCUUUCUGUAUUUUUUAUUCUAUCAACCAGUUUAAACAAGUGGUUGGGAGCACUCCUGUGAUGAAAGAAAAAAGGCUAUUUUUUUUUUAAGAAUAAAUUGCUUCCAAUGGGAAGGGUAGAGCUCAAGUGGUAAAGCGCAUGGUUAGCAUGCAUGAGGUCCUGGGUUCAAUCCCCAGCACUUCCUUGAAGAAUAAAUAAAUAAAAAGAAUAAAUUGCUUCCAUGGUACAUUAGUUGGUGUUAUUCUAGUUUCUAGCGAUGGGAGCACACAGCACAUUCUGGCCCCACCCACAUCUAAUUUACUUAAGUUACUCCCCAACACUUGUAUCCCUGCAGGGAACACAGGUGCUACUGAGGGCAGAAGAGAGACAAGAAAGGACGGGGUGCUCAAAGGAAGACGAGGCACGGUCUGCCCCGUGGAGCCUCAGGACAAUUCUGUUCCUCAGAUAUUUCCCCUGUAACCAUGGUGCAGGCUCGGAGCAAGGCCCCAGGGAUACAGAGGUGGACUCUGUAUCCAGAGUCUUGCCUUUUUUUGGUGGUGAUUGGGGUGGGGGAGGUGUGUGCAAACUCAAUGCCCAGCUCAUUCCUGUUUCUCCUUCAUGGAUGACAGACAUUUUAACAGUGCAUUCUGCAUUUCCUCUGGGAAUUUGUUGGAUUUGUAUAUGUAUAUGAAUGCAUCUAUCCAUCCAUUUGGAAUGUGCCUUUGAACACAGUUUUAGGUACAUAUAUAUACAUACAAAUGUGUUUCUAUAUGUACAUAUAAGCACAUUUAUGAUAAGUAAUGUGGAUGCUGGGAUACAAGUGUGAGGAUGGGAGUCAAGCAGGUCUUGAUCAAAGAUGUGUCUACAUCCCAGGAAAGAGUCUCCUGCCUUGAUGUGCUCCCAGUGUAAUUGAUGGAUUGCUGAUUUCUACCCCACGUAGCUGGUGCUGCGGGAACAGGGUUCCUGGAGCCCAGAUGAGGGG
Vicugna pacos (alpaca) is the source of this 3073-nucleotide non-coding RNA. Lineage: Eukaryota; Metazoa; Chordata; Mammalia; Artiodactyla; Camelidae. The record is from RefSeq and is a predicted model, not a curated record.